GACGAACGCUGGCGGCGUGCUUAACACAUGCAAGUCGAACGGAAAGGCCUGCUUUCCCUUGUGGAUUGCGGGUACUCGAGUGGCGAACGGGUGAGUAACACGUGAGUGAUCUGCCCCCAACUUGGGUAUAAGCCUGGGAAAUUGGGUCUAAUUCCCGAUAGGACUGCAGGGUGGUGCCUGUGGUGGAAAACGAUUUUCUAGUGGUUGGGGAUGAGCUCGCGGCCUAUCUGCUUGGUGGUGGGGUAAUGGCCUACCAAGGCGGCGACGGGUAGCCGGCCUGAGAGGGUGGACGGCCACAUUGGGACUGAGAGACGGCCCAGACUCCUACGGGAGGCAGCAGUGGGGAAUAUUGCACAAUGGGCGGAAGCCUGAUGCAGCGACGCCGCGUGGGGGAUGACGGCCUUCGGGUUGUAAACUCCUUUCGACCGCGAGGAAGCCACCUGGUUGGAAGGGUGGUGACGGUAGUGGUAGAAGAAGCACCGGCUAACUACGUG
Molecule: ribosomal RNA, 494 nt
Filed under: uncultured bacterium
Lineage: Bacteria
Description: partial 16S ribosomal RNA
Rfam family: Bacterial small subunit ribosomal RNA
Source: RNAcentral